Molecule: ribosomal RNA, 253 nt
Filed under: uncultured bacterium
Lineage: Bacteria
Description: partial 16S ribosomal RNA
Rfam family: Bacterial small subunit ribosomal RNA
Source: RNAcentral
UACAGAGGGUGCGAGCGUUAAUCGGAAUUACUGGGCGUAAAGCGCGCGUAGGCGGCUUUGCAAGUCGGAUGUGAAAUCCCCGGGCUUAACCUGGGAACUGCAUUCGAGACUGCAUUGCUAGAGUAUGGGAGAGGGAAGUGGAAUUUCCGGUGUAGCGGUGAAAUGCGUAGAUAUCGGAAGGAACAUCAGUGGCGAAAGCGACUUCCUGGACCAAUACUGACGCUCAUGUGCGAAAGCGUGGGGAGCAAACAGG